Molecule: non-coding RNA, 29 nt
Filed under: Mus musculus (house mouse)
Lineage: Eukaryota; Metazoa; Chordata; Mammalia; Rodentia; Muridae
Source: RNAcentral
UGAGGUGUCACUACAUAUUCUCAGAUGCU